This 567-nucleotide ribosomal RNA is filed under the name uncultured bacterium. RNAcentral's name for it is "bacterial SSU rRNA". It matches the Rfam family "Bacterial small subunit ribosomal RNA", at positions 338 to 916 of the family's 1533-position model. The record is from RNAcentral.
CCUACGGGAGGCAGCAGUCGAGGAUCUUCGGCAAUGGACGAAAGUCUGACCGAGCAACGCCGCGUGUGCGAUGAAGGCCUUCGGGUUGUAAAGCACUGUCGAGGGGAAACAAGCCGUAAGGUUGAGUGACCCCUGGAGGAAGCACGGGCUAAGUUCGUGCCAGCAGCCGCGGUAAGACGAACCGUGCAAACGUUAUUCGGAAUCACUGGGCUUAAAGGGCGCGUAGGCGGGUGAUCAAGUCAAUGGUGAAAUCCUCCAGCUUAACUGGAGAAGUGCCUUUGAUACUGAUUGUCUAGAGGGAGGUAGGGGCAUGUGGAACUUCAGGUGGAGCGGUGAAAUGCGUAGAUAUCUGAAGGAACGCCAGUGGCGAAAGCGAUGUGCUGGACCUCUUCUGACGCUGAGGCGCGAAAGCUAGGGGAUCAAACGGGAUUAGAUACCCCGGUAGUCCUAGCCCUAAACUAUGGGUACUAGAUUGUGGACUUUCAUGGGUUCACAGUCGAAGCAAAAGCGUUAAGUACCCCGCCUGGGGAGUAUGGUCGCAAGGCUGAAACUCAAAUGAAUUGACGG